GAUGAACGCUGGCGGCGUGCCUAAUACAUGCAAGUCGAGCGAACAGAUGAGGAGCUUGCUCCUCUGACGUUAGCGGCGGACGGGUGAGUAACACGUGGAUAACCUACCUAUAAGACUGGGAUAACUUCGGGAAACCGGAGCUAAUACCGGAUAAUAUAUUGAACCGCAUGGUUCAAUAGUGAAAGACGGUUUUGCUGUCACUUAUAGAUGGAUCCGCGCCGCAUUAGCUAGUUGGUAAGGUGACGGCUUACCAAGGCAACGAUGCGUAGCCGACCUGAGAGGGUGAUCGGCCACACUGGAACUGAGACACGGUCCAGACUCCUACGGGAGGCAGCAGUAGGGAAUCUUCCGCAAUGGGCGAAAGCUUGACGGAGCAACGCCGCGUGAGUGAUGAAGGUCUUCGGAUCGUAAAACUCUGUUAUUAGGGAAGAACAAAUGUGUAAGUAACUAUGCACGUCUUGACGGUACCUAAUCAGAAAGCCACGGCUAACUACGUG
RNAcentral lists this ribosomal RNA (497 nucleotides) under uncultured bacterium. RNAcentral's name for it is "partial 16S ribosomal RNA". It matches the Rfam family "Bacterial small subunit ribosomal RNA", at positions 28 to 507 of the family's 1533-position model. The record is from RNAcentral.